UGGGACGUGGUGUACGGUGCACCGCUGCAUUUGAUAAAAGUGGAUCGUGUUUAAAAUUUGCAGUAGACCGGGGUUCGACUCCCCGCGUUCCAC
Mycena latifolia is the source of this 93-nucleotide non-coding RNA. The record is from the annotation of a GenBank genome assembly. Lineage: Eukaryota; Fungi; Basidiomycota; Agaricomycetes; Agaricales; Mycenaceae.